UAGGGAAUAUUGGUCAAUGGAGGCAACUCUGAACCAGCCAUGCCGCGUGUAGGAAGAAGGCGUUCUGCGUUGUAAACUACUUUUGAUUGGGAACAAAUGACUCUUGCGAGAGUAGCUGAGUGUACCAAUAGAAUAAGCCACGGCUAACUACGUGCCAGCAGCCGCGGUAAUACGUAGGUGGCAAGCGUUGUCCGGAUUUAUUGGGUUUAAAGGGUGCGUAGGCGGCUUGAUAAGUCAGUGGUGAAAGCCGAUCGCUUAACGAUCGAACUGCCAUUGAUACUGUCGGGCUUGAGUAUAGUUGAGGUAGGCGGAAUUGACAGUGUAGCGGUGAAAUGCAUAGAUAUUGUCAAGAACACCAAUUGCGAAGGCAGCUUACUAAAGUAUAACUGACGCUGAGGCACGAAAGUGCGGGGAUCAAACA
This 421-nucleotide ribosomal RNA is filed under the name uncultured Cytophaga sp. Its description in RNAcentral is "bacterial SSU rRNA". It matches the Rfam family "Bacterial small subunit ribosomal RNA", at positions 355 to 774 of the family's 1533-position model. Lineage: Bacteria; Pseudomonadati; Bacteroidota; Cytophagia; Cytophagales; Cytophagaceae. The record is from RNAcentral.